UAUAGAUGGAUCCGCGCUGCAUUAGCUAGUUGGUAAGGUAACGGCUUACCAAGGCAACGAUGCAUAGCCGACCUGAGAGGGUGAUCGGCCACACUGGAACUGAGACACGGUCCAGACUCCUACGGGAGGCAGCAGUAGGGAAUCUUCCGCAAUGGGCGAAAGCCUGACGGAGCAACGCCGCGUGAGUGAUGAAGGUCUUCGGAUCGUAAAACUCUGUUAUUAGGGAAGAACAUAUGUGUAAGUAACUGUGCACAUCUUGACGGUACCUAAUCAGAAAGCCACGGCUAACUACGUGCCAGCAGCCGCGGUAAUACGUAGGUGGCAAGCGUUAUCCGGAA
RNAcentral lists this ribosomal RNA (338 nucleotides) under Staphylococcus aureus. Its description in RNAcentral is "bacterial SSU rRNA". It matches the Rfam family "Bacterial small subunit ribosomal RNA", at positions 220 to 550 of the family's 1533-position model. The record is from RNAcentral. RNAcentral also lists the same sequence under 1 other name. Lineage: Bacteria; Bacillati; Bacillota; Bacilli; Caryophanales; Staphylococcaceae.